AUGAACGCUGGCGGCGUGCCUAAUACCUGCAAGUCGAGCGAACAGGCGAGGAGCUGCUCCUCUGACGUUAGCGGCGGACGGGUGAGUAACACGUGGAUAACCUACCUAUAAGACUGGGAUAACUUCGGGAAACCGGAGCUAAUACCGGAUAAUAUAUUGAACCGCAUGGUUCAAUAGUGAAAGACGGUUUUGCUGUCACUUAUAGAUGGAUCCGCGCCGCAUUAGCUAGUUGGUAAGGUAACGGCUUACCAAGGCAACGAUGCGUAGCCGACCUGAGAGGGUGAUCGGCCACACUGGAACUGAGACACGGUCCAGACUCCUACGGGAGGCAGCAGUAGGGAAUCUUCCGCAAUGGGCGAAAGCCUGACGGAGCAACGCCGCGUGAGUGAUGAAGGUCUUCGGAUCGUAAAACUCUGUUAUUAGGGAAGAACAAAUGUGUAAGUAACUAUGCACGUCUUGACGGUACCUAAUCAGAAAGCCACGGCUAACUACGUG
RNAcentral lists this ribosomal RNA (495 nucleotides) under uncultured bacterium. Its description in RNAcentral is "partial 16S ribosomal RNA". It matches the Rfam family "Bacterial small subunit ribosomal RNA", at positions 29 to 507 of the family's 1533-position model. The record is from RNAcentral.